AACGAACGCUGGCGGCAUGCCUAACACAUGCAAGUCGAACGAAGGCUUCGGCCUUAGUGGCGCACGGGUGCGUAACGCGUGGGAAUCUGCCCUUUGGUUCGGAAUAACAGCUGGAAACGGCUGCUAAUACCGGAUGAUGACGAAAGUCCAAAGAUUUAUCGCCAGAGGAUGAGCCCGCGUUGGAUUAGGUAGUUGGUGGGGUAAAGGCAUACCAAGCCGACGAUCCAUAGCUGGUCUGAUAGGAUGAUCAGCCACACUGGGACUGAGACACAGCCCAGACUCCUACGCGACGCAGCAGUGGGGAAUAUUAGACAAUGAACGCAAGCCUGAUACAGCAAUGCCGCGUGAGUGAUGAAGGCCCUAGGGUUGUAAAGCUCUUUUACCCGGGAAGAUAAUGACUGUACCGGGAGAAUAAGCCCCGGCUAACUCCGUG
RNAcentral lists this ribosomal RNA (433 nucleotides) under uncultured bacterium. RNAcentral describes it as "partial 16S ribosomal RNA". It matches the Rfam family "Bacterial small subunit ribosomal RNA", at positions 29 to 507 of the family's 1533-position model. The record is from RNAcentral.